Molecule: ribosomal RNA, 476 nt
Filed under: uncultured organism
Description: partial 16S ribosomal RNA
Rfam family: Bacterial small subunit ribosomal RNA
Source: RNAcentral
ACACUCCUGCGGGAGGCAGCAGUGGGGAAUUUUGGACAAUGGGCGAAAGCCUGAUCCAGCAAUGCCGCGUGAGUGAAGAAGGCCUUCGGGUUGUAAAGCUCUUUUGUCAGGGAAGAAACGGUGAAAGCUAAUAUCUUUUGCUAAUGACGGUACCUGAAGAAUAAGCACCGGCUAACUACGUGCCAGCAGCCGCGGUAAUACGUAGGGUGCAAGCGUUAAUCGGAAUUACUGGGCGUAAAGCGUGCGCAGGCGGUUUUGUAAGUCUGAUGUGAAAUCCCCGGGCUCAACCUGGGAAUUGCAUUGGAGACUGCAAGGCUAGAAUCUGGCAGAGGGGGGUAGAAUUCCACGUGUAGCAGUGAAAUGCGUAGAUAUGUGGAGGAACACCGAUGGCGAAGGCAGCCCCCUGGGUCAAGAUUGACGCUCAUGCACGAAAUCGUGGGGAGCAAACAGGAUUAGAAACCCGAGUAGUCCCAUGA